Vombatus ursinus (common wombat) is the source of this 106-nucleotide small nuclear RNA. NCBI's taxonomy places the organism in Eukaryota, Metazoa, Chordata, Mammalia, Diprotodontia, Vombatidae. The record is from Ensembl.
GUGCUUGCUUUGGCAGCGCAUAUGCUAAUAUGGAAAGGAUACAGAGAAGAUUAGCAUGAUCCUACUCAAGGAUGACAUUCAAAUUUGUGAAGCUUUCCAUAUUUCU